RNAcentral lists this ribosomal RNA (450 nucleotides) under uncultured bacterium. Its description in RNAcentral is "bacterial SSU rRNA". It matches the Rfam family "Bacterial small subunit ribosomal RNA", at positions 29 to 524 of the family's 1533-position model. The record is from RNAcentral.
AACGAACGCUGGCGGCAGGCUUAACACAUGCAAGUCGAACGAUGUAGCAAUACAUAGUGGCGCACGGGUGAGUAACGCGUGGGAAUAUACCUUAUAGUGGGGAAUAACUUUGGGAAACUAAAGCUAAUACCGCAUACGCCCGAGAGGGGAAAGAUUUAUCGCUAUAAGAUUAGCCCGCGUGAGAUUAGGUAGUUGGUGGGGUAAUGGCCUACCAAGCCUACGAUCUCUAGCUGGUCUGAGAGGAUGAUCAGCCACACUGGAACUGAGACACGGUCCAGACUCCUACGGGAGGCAGCAGUGGGGAAUAUUGGGCAAUGGACGAAAGUCUGACCCAGCCAUGCCGCGUGAAUGAUGAAGGCCUUAGGGUUGUAAAGUUCUUUCGCCGAUGAAGAUAAUGACGGUAGUCGGAGAAGAAGCCCCGGCUAACUUCGUGCCAGCAGCCGCGGUAAU